Molecule: ribosomal RNA, 480 nt
Filed under: uncultured soil bacterium
Lineage: Bacteria
Description: bacterial SSU rRNA
Rfam family: Bacterial small subunit ribosomal RNA
Source: RNAcentral
AGAGUGAACGCUGGCGGCAGGCCUAAUACAUGCAAGUCGAACGGCAGCACAGCAGAGCUUGCUCUGUGGGUGGCGAGUGGCGGACGGGUGAGGAAUACAUGGGAAUCUGCCCAGUCGUGGGGGAUAACGUAGGGAAACUUACGCUAAUACCGCGUGCGCCCUUCGGGGGAAAGCCGGGGACCUUCGGGCCUGGCGCGAUUGGAUGAGCCCAUGUCGGAUUAGCUAGUUGGCGGGGUAAAGGCCCACCAAGGCGACGAUCCGUAGCUGGUCUGAGAGGAUGAUCAGCCACACUGGAACUGAGACACGGUCCAGACUCCUACGGGAGGCAGCAGUAGGGAAUAUUGGACAAUGGGCGCAAGCCUGAUCCAGCCAUGCCGCGUGUGUGAAGAAGGCCUUGGUUGUAAAGCUACGUUUAGUACCGGAAAGAAAACGGCGACCGGGUUAACCACCCGUAGGUCGUCCGUGACGGUACCGGAAGAA